Small nucleolar RNA from Tachyglossus aculeatus (Australian echidna), 138 nucleotides. The record is from RefSeq and is a predicted model, not a curated record. NCBI's taxonomy places the organism in Eukaryota, Metazoa, Chordata, Mammalia, Monotremata, Tachyglossidae.
CCCCUCCCGGGAUCGCACCUGGAGAGUUUCCAUUCCUCUGACAGUCUUGGCUACAGGAGGGAGAGUCAAGCGGAGGCCUACCCAUUCCAUUCCUAGCUUGGCCAGUGGCUAGCGAGUGGAAGGCAACCCGCUACAAGU